This 551-nucleotide ribosomal RNA is filed under the name uncultured bacterium. RNAcentral's name for it is "bacterial SSU rRNA". It matches the Rfam family "Bacterial small subunit ribosomal RNA", at positions 355 to 896 of the family's 1533-position model. The record is from RNAcentral.
UGGGGAAUAUUGCGCAAUGGGCGAAAGCCUGACGGAGCAACGCCGCGUGAGUGAAGACGGCCUUCGGGUUGUAAAGCUCUGUUAUACGGGACGAAUAAUCUUGUGGUUAAUACCCAUAAGAAGUGACGGUACCGUAAGAGAAAGCCACGGCUAACUACGUGCCAGCAGCCGCGGUAAUACGUAGGUGGCAAGCGUUGUCCGGAAUUAUUGGGCGUAAAGGGCGCGCAGGCGGCUUCUUAAGUCUGUCUUAAAAGUGCGGGGCUUAACCCCGUGAUGGGAUGGAAACUGGGAAGCUCAGAGUAUCGGAGAGGAAAGCGGAAUUCCUAGUGUAGCGGUGAAAUGCGUAGAUAUUAGGAGGAACACCAGUGGCGAAAGCGGCUUUCUGGACGAAAACUGACGCUGAGGCGCGAAAGCCAGGGGAGCGAACGGGAUUAGAUACCCCGGUAGUCCUGGCCGUAAACGAUGGGUACUAGGUGUAGGAGGUAUCGACCCCUUCUGUGCCGGAGUUAACGCAAUAAGUACCCCGCCUGGGGAGUACGGCCGCAAGGUUG